CUUGGUCAUUUAGAGGAAGUAAAUGUCGUAACAAGGUCUCCGUUGGUGAACCAGCGGAGGGAUCAUUACCGAGUUUACAACUCCCAAACCCCUGUGAACAUACCUUUAUGUUGCCUCGGCGGAUCAGCCCGCGCCCCGUAAAACGGGACGGCCCGCCGCAGGAACCACAAAACUCUGAUUUUAGUGUAACUUCUGAGUCUAAAAAACAAAUAAAUCAAAACUUUCAACAACGGAUCUCUUGGUUCUGGCAUCGAUGAAGAACGCAGCAAAAUGCGAUAAGUAAUGUGAAUUGCAGAAUUCAGUGAAUCAUCGAAUCUUUGAACGCACAUUGCGCCCGCCAGUAUUCUGGCGGGCAUGCCUGUUCGAGCGUCAUUUCAACCCUCAAGCCCCCGGGUUUGGUGUUGGGGAUCGGGCUGUACUCCAGCCCGGCCCCGAAAUCUAGUGGCGGUCUCGCUGCAGCCUCCAUUGCGUAGUAGCUAACACCUCGCAACUGGAACGCGGCGCGGCCAAGCCGUUAAACCCCCAACUUCUGAAUGUUGACCUCGGAUCAGGUAGGAAUACCCGCUGAACUUAAGCAUAUCAAUAAGCGGAGGA
Molecule: unclassified non-coding RNA, 594 nt
Filed under: uncultured fungus
Lineage: Eukaryota; Fungi
Description: sequence contains ITS1, 5.8S rRNA gene and ITS2
Rfam family: 5.8S ribosomal RNA (bases 219-372)
Source: RNAcentral